This 497-nucleotide ribosomal RNA is filed under the name uncultured bacterium. RNAcentral's name for it is "partial 16S ribosomal RNA". It matches the Rfam family "Bacterial small subunit ribosomal RNA", at positions 28 to 507 of the family's 1533-position model. The record is from RNAcentral.
GAUGAACGCUGGCGGCGUGCCUAAUACAUGCAAGUCGAGCGAACGGACGAGAAGCUUGCUUCUCUGAUGUUAGCGGCGGACGGGUGAGUAACACGUGGAUAACCUACCUAUAAGACUUGGAUAACUUCGGGAAACCGGAGCUAAUACCAGAUAAUAUUUUGAACCGCAUGGUUCAAAAGUGAAAGACGGUCUUGCUGUCACUUAUAGAUGGAUCCGCGCUGCAUUAGCUAGUUGGUAAGGUAACGGCUUACCAAGGCAACGAUGCAUAGCCGACCUGAGAGGGUGAUCCGCCAAACUGGAACUGAGACAAGGUCCAGAAUCCUACGGGAGGCAGCAGUAGGGAAUAUUGCGCAAUGGGCGAAAGCCUGAACGAGCAAAGCCGCGUGGGUGAAGAAGGGCUUCGGGUUGUAAAACCCUUUUAUUAGGGAAGAAAAGAAGGGGAAGGAAACGGGGAAAUUCUGAAGGUAACUAAACAAAAAGCCACGGCUAACUUCGUG